This 393-nucleotide ribosomal RNA is filed under the name uncultured bacterium. Its description in RNAcentral is "partial 16S ribosomal RNA". It matches the Rfam family "Bacterial small subunit ribosomal RNA", at positions 523 to 918 of the family's 1533-position model. The record is from RNAcentral.
AUACGGAGGAUCCGAGCGUUAUCCGGAUUUAUUGGGUUUAAAGGGAGCGUAGGCGGACUAUUAAGUCAGCUGUGAAAGUUUGCGGCUCAACCGUAAAAUUGCAGUUGAUACUGGUCGUCUUGAGUGCAGUAGAGGUAGGCGGAAUUCGUGGUGUAGCGGUGAAAUGCUUAGAUAUCACGAAGAACUCCGAUUGCGAAGGCAGCUUACUGGACUGUAACUGACGCUGAUGCUCGAAAGUGUGGGUAUCAAACAGGAUUAGAUACCCUGGUAGUCCACACAGUAAACGAUGAAUACUCGCUGUUUGCGAUAUACGGCAAGCGGCCAAGCGAAAGCAUUAAGUAUUCCACCUGGGGAGUACGCCGGCAACGGUGAAACUCAAAGGAAUUGGCGGGG